AGUUAAAGACGUAGGGUACAGAGGUAAGAUGUUCUAUCUUUCAGACCUUUUACUUCACGUAAUCGGAUUUGGCUGAAUAUUUUAGCCGCCCCAGUCAGUUAUGACUGGGGCGUUUUUUA
RNAcentral lists this non-coding RNA (119 nucleotides) under Enterobacter sp. kpr-6. The record is from RNAcentral. Lineage: Bacteria; Pseudomonadati; Pseudomonadota; Gammaproteobacteria; Enterobacterales; Enterobacteriaceae.